CACAGCCCAGGGACAAGCAAAGAAAGGAAAGACGAAAAGAAAACCAACUAAAUAAGAUCAUGAGCAUUCUCACAUCGAGAAGCAGCACGAGCACGUAUAUAAGAACGAAUGAGCUGAAACAGAACCAUAGACUCACGAGCCUGACCCCUAUGGAGAUGAUGAUUACACUCCUUCCAGAUAAAGUAAAUCGUAGCACACCAGAGAACACGUCACAACUUCCUUCUCACACCCUUCCUAAUACUCUGAUGACAAAUCCAAGAUAACUCAACUUUCCAAUAUCUAAUCAUAUUUUC
RNAcentral lists this long non-coding RNA (293 nucleotides) under Cucumis sativus (cucumber). Its description in RNAcentral is "long non-coding RNA (CSAT_LNC000056)". Lineage: Eukaryota; Viridiplantae; Streptophyta; Magnoliopsida; Cucurbitales; Cucurbitaceae. The record is from RNAcentral.